Molecule: long non-coding RNA, 402 nt
Organism: Oreochromis aureus
Lineage: Eukaryota; Metazoa; Chordata; Actinopteri; Cichliformes; Cichlidae
Exons: 3
Source: RefSeq, a predicted model, not a curated record
GCGAUAAUAGCAAAGGAUUGGAGAAAAUAAAAGGGAAGGGAUUGCUGUGGCGAGGCCUAACAUCGAAGUAGGGUCGGGGUGAUGCUGAGGUUGCCUCCACUUUGAAAGGCAGAUGUGAGCCCAGUGGGAGUCACGACCACUGCAUCACCAGGUCAAAAGCUUAAUGCACACAGAGCUGUGGAGCUGCCCCUCCACAGCCCGGGGAAUGACCAGUUUGCUGUGUGUAAGGCCACCCCCUUCUCCAAUGAUGCCAGCUGUUUCUUAUAAAGUUCAUUUAUAUAUCAGUGUGGAUCCGCCACAUGACCCAAUGAAUCUACUGCCAGCAGCCCCGCGCGAGGUCCCGUGUACAUGCCAAGUCCGAGCAGUUUUGAUGACACAAGGAGGACUCGCACGAUAUCAGGC